GGGAGUGCCCCAGAGAUGGCGAACUGGGCCUGACUGUAAAUCAGGUGGCUUCGGCCUUAGUGGGUUCGAUUCCCUCCACUCCCACCA
RNAcentral lists this transfer RNA (87 nucleotides) under Planctomycetaceae bacterium. RNAcentral describes it as "tRNA-Tyr". It matches the Rfam family "tRNA". Rfam says of the family: Transfer RNA (tRNA) molecules are approximately 80 nucleotides in length. Their secondary structure includes four short double-helical elements and three loops (D, anti-codon, and T loops). The record is from RNAcentral. Lineage: Bacteria; Pseudomonadati; Planctomycetota; Planctomycetia; Planctomycetales; Planctomycetaceae.